UACAUAGGGUGCAAGCGUUAUCCGGAAUUAUUGGGCGUAAAGCGUCUGUAGGUGGCUUUUUAAGUCCGCCGUGAAAUCCCAGGGCUCAACUCUGGACAGGCGGUGGAAACUACCAAGCUGGAGUACGGUAGGGGCAGAGGGAAUUUCCGGUGGAGCGGUGAAAUGCGUAGAGAUCGGAAAGAACACCAACGGCGAAAGCACGCUGCUGGGCCGACACUGACACUGAGAGACGAAAGCUAGGGGAGCGAAUGGG
RNAcentral lists this ribosomal RNA (253 nucleotides) under uncultured bacterium. Its description in RNAcentral is "partial 16S ribosomal RNA". It matches the Rfam family "Bacterial small subunit ribosomal RNA", at positions 524 to 776 of the family's 1533-position model. The record is from RNAcentral.